Molecule: long non-coding RNA, 1788 nt
Organism: Zonotrichia leucophrys gambelii
Lineage: Eukaryota; Metazoa; Chordata; Aves; Passeriformes; Passerellidae
Exons: 3
Source: RefSeq, a predicted model, not a curated record
AGCUGCCCAUGAGAAAUCACAAGGUAUGGAGCACCACAGUGCACGGGGACAGCCUGUGCCCACUACCCCCGGUAUGGAGCUUGGGUUUUAGCAGCUCAGAAGCAGGGGAACAGUGUCUAUUGCGUGGGUCAGAGCUGGAUGCUGAGGACUGAAACAACAUUUGGCUGUUCAAUGGGACUGUGCACCCUCCCACCAGGUAUGUGGGUUAGUCAGGUUGAGGGUUUUGCAGAGCAGGGAGCUCAGCAUGGCAGGUGUGGCACAGUUCAAAACUCAAGAGCUGCUCUGCCACGGGGCACAGUUGAGCCAAAGACUGCGGCAAGCUUUUGCCAUACGAGGGCGUGCUGGCACUGCUCCUUCCUGCGCUGCAGCUGGGAAUGUUGGGAUGCAGCCACACAGACGGGAAAGCUGCUGGGAAGCUCGGGUUCUCACCUGGAGUGCUGAAUUAAUUAGCAUUGCUCAAGGAACUGGUUCUAAAGUGUUUGCCACCUUCUUAAGAGCCCAGGGGCUGCUCAGAGUGAGGGAGAUGGUCUCAGUGUUUGCCUUUUGGGUCUGAACCAGGUCAGGACGAUGCUGCCAGUAUUUUCCAUCAGACACCGGCAUGGUGGCAUUCCGCGAGCAGGCCAGCACCCCAGCAUCGCUCCCCGCGGGCAGGUGACAGGAGGAUGGUGGCGGUGCCUUGCACAAGUGCAAAAUACGAGUGCGGGAAUCCUUCCCAGUGCCCAGUAGAUGGGGCUGUGUGUGCUUCCUGCUUUCCCCGCGUGGCAGGAGGGCUGGGCAGAGCGGACACCCGGGAAGGGAACAAAGCUGUCCCUCACCUGGCUUUUUGACUCCCUGUACCAGAAUGGUGCCAUCUCACCGGGACAAUAGGAUACAGAAAAAAACCUCAAACGACCGAAACCCUACUAUUUUUCCCCAAGUGUCUGAGUGUUAAACUUUUUGCCUCCAUGCUGAGCUGCAAACCUUGAUCUUGACUGUAAUUUCUCUACGGGAGCAAGUGUGGGAUGCCACUGGCUGUGAGUGUCCCAAGUUGAAGAAACUCCGUGUUGGAAAGCCAUGUUUCUAACUCAUCUUUCCUGUUUGGCUUAUUGCUUCCAGCAUUUUCUAGAAUGGCUCGUCUUCUCCCUAGUACUCCCAAAGCUCCCAGGUGGGAUGAGUGCUCUGUGAAGCCAUUCUUUUGUGGCCUGUGUUGUCUCCGCUGGGAUCUCAAGGAUGGAGCUUGCUCUCUUAAGGUGCUGAGGAGGACAUAAAGUGCUGAAAGGGCAUGUUCAUGAUGCUGGGCCUUCCCUGGAGAUGGAUUACAAGGGAUUUCCACCACUUCUGCACAAAGGAACUGCUUUUGUCCAUGGGUCAAUGCUCAGGGUGGUGCUAAGGCAGAUGUUUCCCCACUGUUGGUCUCUGUGGCUGUGGCACAACCCCAUCCUAUGUGGGUGUGAUGGCAGAGGUGGGGAAAGUUGAGCAGAAGCUGUGGAGAGUUCCACAGGCAGAGCUGCAGCUGCUUGAGAAGAAAACCUUGCCAGUGGCUCAUUUGUUAUAUUUGCAAAUGCAGUAUCAAAAUGCUUCUGCAGCCUUUUCCUCCAAAAACUGCAGGGCUUCUUGGGGAGCAGAAGCUGAGUUUGCCAGGGCCCCGUGCAAAAGCCCUGCAGCCCUGGCCACUGCAGCAGCUGCAGGUGGAGCUGGGGACCUGCAAGCUGCAGUGGUGCUGUUGUGGUGGCAGCGAAGCUCUGCUGGUGUUCAGGCAGUGUUUGUGCUGCUCUGUCCAAGCUGCUGUAGUAAAGUGCUCUGGCUAAU